GGGCGAAUAGCUCAGCUGGCUAGAGCACUUCGUUGACAUCGAAGAGGUCGUAGGUUCAAGUCCUGCUUCGCCCA
Molecule: transfer RNA, 74 nt
Filed under: Candidatus Dojkabacteria bacterium
Lineage: Bacteria
Description: tRNA-Val
Rfam family: tRNA
About the family: Transfer RNA (tRNA) molecules are approximately 80 nucleotides in length. Their secondary structure includes four short double-helical elements and three loops (D, anti-codon, and T loops).
Source: RNAcentral